This 126-nucleotide small nucleolar RNA is filed under the name Carlito syrichta (Philippine tarsier). Its description in RNAcentral is "Small nucleolar RNA SNORA3/SNORA45 family (ENSTSYG00000037330.1)". It matches the Rfam family "Small nucleolar RNA SNORA3/SNORA45 family". From Rfam's summary of the family: The members of this family belong to the H/ACA class of snoRNAs which are thought to guide the sites of modification of uridines to pseudouridines. Lineage: Eukaryota; Metazoa; Chordata; Mammalia; Primates; Tarsiidae. The record is from Rfam by way of RNAcentral.
GCCUCGACCGGAGUCACAUCUCAUACAACUCUUGUCCUGGUGUGCUAGAGUACUCGGAGAGAAUCUGCUAGUCUUGAUUCACUGGCGGGAGUGAUCUGUGCUCCCAUUAAUGCCCAGAUCACAUGA